GCUCGCUUAGCACAGUGGUAGUGCAUUGUACUUAUGUGGAAACCUAUUGAGAAUGCAAGGGUCCUGAGUUCGACCCUCAGAGUGAGCA
This is a non-coding RNA of Mycena maculata, 88 nucleotides long. The record is from the annotation of a GenBank genome assembly. Lineage: Eukaryota; Fungi; Basidiomycota; Agaricomycetes; Agaricales; Mycenaceae.